RNAcentral lists this ribosomal RNA (253 nucleotides) under uncultured bacterium. Its description in RNAcentral is "partial 16S ribosomal RNA". It matches the Rfam family "Bacterial small subunit ribosomal RNA", at positions 524 to 776 of the family's 1533-position model. The record is from RNAcentral.
CACGUAGGGUGCGAGCGUUGUCCGGAAUUAUUGGGCGUAAAGGGCUCGUAGGCGGUUUGUCGCGUCGGGAGUGAAAUCCACUGGCUUAACUGGUGGCUUGCUUUCGAUACGGGCAGACUGGAGGUAUGCAGGGGAGAACGGAAUUCCUGGUGUAGCGGUGAAAUGCGCAGAUAUCAGGAGGAACACCGGUGGCGAAGGCGGUUCUCUGGGCAUGUCCUGACGCUGAGGAGCGAAAGCCAGGGGAGCAAACGGG